This 206-nucleotide ribosomal RNA is filed under the name uncultured bacterium. RNAcentral's name for it is "partial 16S ribosomal RNA". It matches the Rfam family "Bacterial small subunit ribosomal RNA", at positions 568 to 774 of the family's 1533-position model. The record is from RNAcentral.
UUCGUAGGUGGCCAACUCAGUCAGACGUGAAAUCCCUCAGCUUAACUGGGGAACUGCGUCUGAUACUAGAUGGCUUGAGUGCAGGAGAGGAACGCGGAAUUCCAGGUGUAGCGGUGAAAUGCGUAGAUAUCUGGAGGAACACCGGUGGCGAAGGCGGCGUUCUGGACUGCAACUGACACUGAGGAACGAAAGCCAGGGAGCAAACG